UUAAGCUUAACUCUAGUUUAAUAUUAUAAAAGAAUAUAAGAAAUAUAGAAUAAAUAGGAAUUUUAAUACUUAUAAAUCACUACUACUCCUAUUAUUUUUUUACUUAUUUAACAAAAUAGGAUUAAAUUUAUAUCUAAUUUCUAGUUUUAAAGUCUUUUACAAACUAAUUUAAAUUAAAAAUAUUAUUAAGUAAAGAGUUUAACUAAAGUGAUAUAUCUAUUAAACUAUAAUAUAAAUAUUCUAAAGUGGGCUUAUAGAAAAUAGAAAUUUCUAAUAAAACAAAAAGAUAAAAAUCUUCUUAAUUUUAAUUUUCAAUAUAAAUAUAAACUAUAAAAAUAUAACCUAUUAAUCUUUUAAUCCCUUAAAAUUUGAAAUUAGAAGUACUAGAAAAGUUACUA
RNAcentral lists this non-coding RNA (398 nucleotides) under Colletotrichum orbiculare MAFF 240422. RNAcentral describes it as "Eukaryotic large subunit ribosomal RNA". It matches the Rfam family "Eukaryotic large subunit ribosomal RNA", at positions 2416 to 2820 of the family's 3401-position model. The record is from Rfam by way of RNAcentral. Lineage: Eukaryota; Fungi; Ascomycota; Sordariomycetes; Glomerellales; Glomerellaceae.